Molecule: ribosomal RNA, 497 nt
Filed under: uncultured bacterium
Lineage: Bacteria
Description: partial 16S ribosomal RNA
Rfam family: Bacterial small subunit ribosomal RNA
Source: RNAcentral
GAUGAACGCUGGCGGCGUGCCUAAUACAUGCAAGUCGAGCGAACAGACGAGGAGCUUGCUCCUCUGACGUUAGCGGCGGACGGGUGAGUAACACGUGGAUAACCUACCUAUAAGACUGGGAUAACUUCGGGAAACCGGCGCUAAUACCGGAUAAUAUAUUGAACCGCAUGGUUCAAUAGUGAAAGACGGUUUUGCUGUCACUUAUAGAUGGAUCCGCGCCGCAUUAGCUAGUUGGUAAGGUAACGGCUUACCAAGGCAACGAUGCGUAGCCGACCUGAGAGGGUGAUCGGCCACACUGGAACUGAGACACGGUCCAGACUCCUACGGGAGGCAGCAGUAGGGAAUCUGCCGCAAUGGGCGAAAGCCUGACGGAGCAACGCCGCGUGAGUGAUGAAGAUCUUCGGAUCGUAAAACUCUGUUAUUAGGUAAGAACAAAUGUGUAAGUAACUAUGCACGUCUUGACGGUACCUAAUCAGAAAGCCACGGCUAACUACGUG